UCGAAAGGGAAACAGCCCAGACCACCAGCUAAGGUCCCAAAAUAUAUGUUAAGUGGAAAAGGAUGUGGCGUUGCCCAGACAACUAGGAUGUUGGCUUAGAAGCAGCCAUCAUUUAAAGAGUGCGUAAUAGCUCACUAGUCGAGUGACACUGCGCCGAAAAUGUACCGGGGCUAAACAUAUUACCGAAGCUGUGGAUUGUCCUUUGGACAAUGGUAGGAGAGCGUUCUAAGGGCGUUGAAGCAUGAUCGUAAGGACAUGUGGAGCGCUUAGAAGUGAGAAUGCCGGUGUGAGUAGCGAAAGACGGGUGAGAAUCCCGUCCACCGAUUGACUAAGGUUUCCAGAGGAAGGCUCGUCCGC
This 357-nucleotide ribosomal RNA is filed under the name Staphylococcus aureus. RNAcentral describes it as "partial 23S ribosomal RNA". It matches the Rfam family "Bacterial large subunit ribosomal RNA", at positions 1011 to 1373 of the family's 2925-position model. The record is from RNAcentral. Lineage: Bacteria; Bacillati; Bacillota; Bacilli; Caryophanales; Staphylococcaceae.